This 301-nucleotide ribosomal RNA is filed under the name uncultured bacterium. RNAcentral describes it as "partial 16S ribosomal RNA". It matches the Rfam family "Bacterial small subunit ribosomal RNA", at positions 509 to 807 of the family's 1533-position model. The record is from RNAcentral.
CAGUAGCCGCGGGAACACGUAGGGUGCAAGCGUUAAUCGGAAUUACUGGGCGUAAAGCGUGCGCAGGCGGUUUGUUAAGACAGAUGUGAAAUCCCCGGGCUCAACCUGGGAACUGCAUUUGUGACUGGCAAGCUAGAGUGUGGCAGAGGGGGGUGGAAUUCCGCGUGUAGCAGUGAAAUGCGUAGAUAUGCGGAGGAACACCGAUGGCGAAGGCAGCCCCCUGGGCCAACACUGACGCUCAUGCACGAAAGCGUGGGGAGCAAACAGGAUUAGAUACCCCCGUAGUCCCUGUCUCUUAUAC